Molecule: ribosomal RNA, 253 nt
Filed under: uncultured bacterium
Lineage: Bacteria
Description: partial 16S ribosomal RNA
Rfam family: Bacterial small subunit ribosomal RNA
Source: RNAcentral
UACGUAGGGUGCGAGCGUUGUCCGGAAUUAUUGGGCGUAAAGCGUGCGUAGGUGGUUUGUUAAGUCUGAUGUGAAAGCCCUGGGCUCAACCUGGGAACGGCAUUGGAAACUGGCUUACUAGAGGUGAGGAGAGGGGUGUAGAAUUCCCGGUGUAGUGGUGGAAUGCGUAGAUAUCGGGAGGAAUACCAGUGGCGAAAGCGGCACCCUGGCCUUGGCCUGACGCUCAUGUGCGAAAGCGUGGGUAGCAAACGGG